This is a long non-coding RNA of Seriola aureovittata, 1095 nucleotides long. RefSeq lists it as uncharacterized. The transcript is spliced from 5 exons. NCBI's taxonomy places the organism in Eukaryota, Metazoa, Chordata, Actinopteri, Carangiformes, Carangidae. The record is from RefSeq and is a predicted model, not a curated record.
UUAACCUUCCCGAGGAGAUGUGGCGCUCAUCAAACUCAUUCUGCCGGAUGGAUUUGGUUUACACAGUGAAUUUGUUUUUAUAUUGCUCCAACCUCCUGAUAUGAUUUACACUUGAUUUCGAAGCGUCACAGUAUGACUCAAAAUCACCCAUCCGAUCUCUAAAGAGGUGUGGUGUGUUGGAACGUGGCCAUGGUGAGAGUCAGCCCUGCAGCAUGAGCUUUUCCUCUGGUGAUCCAGACUUGUAUGAUUUGCCCGGUGCCGGGGCCAUGGAAACUGCUGUGAUGGCAAAGCACAAGAAGCACGAACCAUUCCUUUUGUUCAACUUUCCCCCCAUUAAAGUCACUGUUCUUGGAAAACAUUCCUAUUUUUGUCUGGGUGCCAGAGGUGGAACAGACAUCUACAACAAAGGUGCUGAAUCCAACUCUCUUCACAAUUGAGCUGUGCUACAGGGACUUCACGUGGGAAAUCAAACGCCGUUUCAAGCACUUCCAAGGUCUUCAUCAGUUGCUGCUGAUGUUCAAGGCUCUUCUAAAGCUCCCCCUGCCAACCUGCAUUUCUUUUUCACUUUUUAGAUGGCUGGUGGUGAAGGACUCUUUUGUUCUCUACGUGAGGCCGAAGGAAUGGUGAUCCUCUAUGAUAAGGGCUCUCACAUCAAGAUGAGCACCCAGGAGACUGGCGUCCAUCACAUAGUCACCGUCGAGAACCUCUGCAGGAAGGCGUCUGUUCUUAUCAUAUUUACAUUUUGCUGUGAUGGCAUAGCUACACAUUUGUGCUUACUGUCCUCCUUCGCAGAUUACUUGUGCUGUCUGUUCUAUAUCUAUAUAUAUCUGUAUACAUGCCACGAAUGUCACAUCCAUAUUAUUUGGGGACAAGGCAUGCUGUUUCUAUCAGGCUGUACUCAUAGAGAUGCUCUGGACUAAAGGUCAGUAUGUCAUAACGUAUUGUUGUGUAUACAGUAAGCAUUACCGUUUGCUUUCCUUAUAUGUACUGAAAACUAUUAAAAAUUACAGCUUUUUUUUAUCUGUAAGGGCACUACCUCUCAAGAGUGUCACGUCUCUGUAGCAUGAUUUAAUUCAUUCCAAUUUUAAUAAAGAA